UUACGGCCAUAUCACGUUGAAACAUCGGCUCUCGUUCGAUCAGCGAAGUUAAGCAACGUCGACCCUGGUCAGUACCUAGAUGGGUGAGUGUUUCGGAAUACCAGGUUCUGUAA
This is a non-coding RNA of Acanthosepion pharaonis, 113 nucleotides long. The record is from the annotation of a GenBank genome assembly. Lineage: Eukaryota; Metazoa; Mollusca; Cephalopoda; Sepiida; Sepiidae.